AGCUAAAACUAGCCCACCCAAAUACCAAUUCAACUACCACAACCAAUCUUCAACCAAAACAUUUAAUUACAUAAUUACAGUAUAGGAGAUAGAAAUUUUACUUGGAGCUAUAGAGAGAGUACCGUAAGGGAACGAUGAAAGAAAAUUCAAAGCAAUAAACAGCAAAGAUAACCCCUUAUACCUUUUGCAUAAUGAGCUAGCUAGAACAAUUUAGCAAAGAGACCUUAAGCUAAAAACCCCGAAACCAGACGAGCUACCUACGAACAAUCCACAGGGAUGCACUCAUCUAUGUCGCAAAAUAGUGAGAAGAUUCAUAGGUAGAGGUGAAAAGCCAAACGAGCCUGGUGAUAGCUGGUUGCCCAGAAUAGAAUUUCAGUUCAACUUUAAAUUUACCUAUAAGCCCCAAAACUACAAUGUAAAUUUAAAAUAUAGUCUAAAAAGGUACAGCUUUUUAGAAUAAGGAUACAACCUUACUUAGAGAGUAAAACAAUACAAAACCAUAGUAGGCCUAAAAGCAGCCACCAAUUAAGAAAGCGUUCAAGCUCAACAGCUCAACCCCCUUAAUACCAAAAAUAUUUACCCAACUCCUAAUAUAAUACUGGGCCAAUCUAUUCAAUAAUAGAAGCAAUAAUGCUAGUAUGAGUAACAAGAAAUACUUCUCCUUUGCAUAAGCUUAUAACAGUCAACGAAUACCCACUGAUUAGUUAACAACAAGAUAAAAACAAACUACCAAUAAAACAUUUAUCAAACUAACUGUUAGCCCAACACAGGUAUGCAACAAGGAAAGAUUAAAAGAAGUAAAAGGAACUCGGCAAACACAAACCCCGCCUGUUUACCAAAAACAUCACCUCCAGCAUAACCAAUAUUGGAGGCACUGCCUGCCCAGUGACAUUAGUUAAACGGCCGCGGUAUCCUGACCGUGCAAAGGUAGCAUAAUCAUUUGUUCUCUAAAUAAGGACUUGUAUGAAUGGCCACACGAGGGUUUAACUGUCUCUUACUUCCAAUCAGUGAAAUUGACCUCCCCGUGAAGAGGCGGGGAUAGACUAAUAAGACGAGAAGACCCUAUGGAGCUUUAAUUAACUAACUCAUAAUAAACCCAUCUAACACCAACAGGAUAUAACACAACUUUAUUAAUGAGUUCAGCAAUUUAGGUUGGGGUGACCUCGGAGAACAAAAAAACCUCCGAGUGAUAAAACAUAGACUAACCCGUCAAAGUAACUUAUCAUUUAUUGAUCCAAUAACUUGAUCAACGGAACAAGUUACCCUAGGGAUAACAGCGCAAUCCUAUUCAAGAGUUCAUAUCAACAAUAGGGUUUACGACCUCGAUGUUGGAUCAGGACAUCCUAAUGGUGCAGCCGCUAUUAAGGGUUCGUUUGUUCAACGAUUAAAGUCCUACGUGAUCUGAGUUCAGACCGGAGUAAUCCAGGUCGGUUUCUAUCUAUUAUAUCAACUUCUCCCAGUACGAAAGGACAAGAGAAAUGAGGCCUAUUCCACUAGAACGCCCCAAGACUAAUAGAUGAUAAAAUCUCAAUCUAGCCAGUCUACUACCACUUCACAGCCCUAGAGAUAGGGCCUU
Molecule: ribosomal RNA, 1576 nt
Filed under: Taxidea taxus (American badger)
Lineage: Eukaryota; Metazoa; Chordata; Mammalia; Carnivora; Mustelidae
Description: 16S ribosomal RNA
Rfam family: Bacterial large subunit ribosomal RNA
Source: RNAcentral